Molecule: ribosomal RNA, 253 nt
Filed under: uncultured bacterium
Lineage: Bacteria
Description: partial 16S ribosomal RNA
Rfam family: Bacterial small subunit ribosomal RNA
Source: RNAcentral
UAGGUAGGGAGCAAGCGUUGUCCGGAUUCACUGGGUGUAAAGGGUGCGCAGGCGGACUGAUAAGUCAGGGGUGAAAUCUUACGGCUCAACCGUGAAAUUGCCUUUGAUACUGUUAGUCUUGAGUUCGGGAGAGGUUGAUGGAAUUCCAGGUGUAGCGGUGGAAUGCGUAGAUAUCUGGAAGAACACCAGUUGCGAAGGCGGUCAACUGGCCCGUAACUAACGCUCAGGCACGAAAGCGUGGGGAGCGAACAGG